UCUUCUAUAAAUUGAGUUAAAGUUUUUAGUUUAACUCAUUCGAAAAUUUUCACUCUCUCAAAUGCAUAGUUCAUGCCUAGAAAAAAUCCUACUAUUUCUCUAUCUACCUCUCGAUGUUCAAAGUCUCUAGAUUUCCAGAUCAUCCGUUCUCAAAAUGCUUGUACGGAUUGUAUUCCAAGUCUACUCAAAGAAGGUACUAUUUAAAAAGUACUUUAUUAAAUUCUUGUUAUUAUACUUUUGAAUUCAUUUUCUCCUACAAAUAUUUUGGUUAUUUACUAUGAUUAUUUCAUUUCGAAUUUGUAUAACAAUUAAUUCCACAAGAUUUGAGAUGUUUGUUAAAAUAAUUUUUUGUUUAAACAAUCAAGCUAGUCAUAUUAUUCAAGCAUGAUUAGAAGUAUUUCUUAUUCCGCAUUUAUAUAUAUAUAUAUAUAUAUAUAUAUAUAUAUAUAUAUAUGUAUAUAUAUAUAUAUGUGUGUGUGUGUGUGUGUAUAUAUAUAUAUAUAUAUAUAUAUAUAUAUAUAUAUAUAUAUAUAUAUAUAUAUAUAUAUAUAUAUAUAUAGAGAGAGAGAGAGAGAGAGAGAGAGAAAAGACAGGAAGGAUCAUUUGAGAAAUCAUAGUUUCCAGAGAACGUGAGAACUGAACAAUAGCCGUUAGAUCAAAAUAAUAAAAGGUUAAGAUGUAUGAUGAUAUUUUUGUAAAUAAUUAAAAAAAAUCGGACACGGUGGGUAUCUUAUGAAAUUAGACAAGGGGCAUUUUAGGGAUAAAUUAAUUAAUAUAUUUCCCCAAAUUAAAUCUCUUAGAUUCACAUCAAAUGCAACUUCUCUCUAAUUCUCCACUUCAUCUUGCUUCUUUGACGACGGAUUUAUGAUCUCCGAUGAUGUACCUGAUUUUUCUCUGAUGGCUUUGAUCUUUCUCCAAUGGCUUUAAUAUAUUGCGCAUCCGCCUUUAAUGUAACCAAGAAAGAAAAAUCGAAGAUCGUUUUAUCAGAUACAUGGCUAUCAUCAGACUCCUUCCACUCCGAUCAAUCACACCAGACUACUCUAUAGGUUUUCACUAUUCUUCCUCUGGUCUUCGCUCCUUCAUCACCGGAGAUCUCUCUCCUGCACAUCGAUCCGAAUUUCAUAGAACUUUAAUCCAAAUCGAUCCUUGAUGAUGGUCGUAGCUUUCAACUGUUCCAUAUGAUCUACCUUUUUCUUGACGACAUAUUACUAGCAUCAGAUUGCAAGUAAAUCCUACUACAUGCGAAGAGAUCUUCGGAAAAUUAGGAUUUGGAAGAAUUUUGGGAAAAUAUUGAAGAGGUGAAAAGUGAUAAAAUUGAAGAAAAUAUAGAAAUCUGAACACGAAGACAUGAAAGCGAUUUUAAAUUUUGUAGCAUUUUCAGUUUUUUAUAUUUUAUUUUCUAUCGAAUAAAAUACUUGUACUAUUAUGCUUAUAGAUUAGUAAGUAAAAAUGUGUUUUUUUAUUAUGUAGUUACGAAUAUUCUAAUAUAUGAAAUAUGUAUACAUGCACUUGAAAAAAUAUAAAUAUAUGCUCCUAAAACAUUAAUUU
Molecule: long non-coding RNA, 1548 nt
Organism: Lactuca sativa (garden lettuce)
Lineage: Eukaryota; Viridiplantae; Streptophyta; Magnoliopsida; Asterales; Asteraceae
Source: RefSeq, a predicted model, not a curated record